Molecule: ribosomal RNA, 397 nt
Filed under: uncultured bacterium
Lineage: Bacteria
Description: bacterial SSU rRNA
Rfam family: Bacterial small subunit ribosomal RNA
Source: RNAcentral
AAUCUUGCACAAUGGGGGAAACCCUGAUGCAGCGACGCCGCGUGAGCGAUGAAGCCCUUCGGGGUGUAAAGCUCUUUCGGCAGGGAAGAAAAAUGACGGUACCUGCAGAAGCAGCUGCGGCUAACUACGUGCCAGCAGCCGCGGUAAUACGUAGGCAGCGAGCGUUGUUCGGAGUUACUGGGCGUAAAGGGUGUGUAGGCGGUCCCCUAAGUUUGGUGUGAAAUCUCCCGGCUCAACCGGGAGGGUGCGCCGAAAACUGGAGGACUAGAGUGCGGGAUGGGAGAGUGGAAUUCCUGGUGUAGCGGUGAAAUGCGUAGAUAUCAGGAGGAACACCGGUGGUGUAGACGGCUCUCUGGACCGUAACUGACGCUGAGACACGAAAGCGUGGGUAGCAAAC